GAAGGUCUUGCUUUUCAUCAAGUGAACCCACUGAUGACACCCUGCAGCAUGGAAACUGCAGUACAUGAUAAUACUCAGUAUAUCAUGAAACUCAAAACAGGCAAGCUGGACCUGCUGGAUGCAAGGAGUGUUUUCUCGUGCGUUCUGGAGAGUCUCCACCCCCAGGCCACCUGCUGUCCCCCAGAGGCUACACCUUCUCCAGCUGGACACUAGGGUACCUGCCCAGCCCCUUAGGCUCCAGAAGUCCUCCCCUCUAUUGAGGUUAUCCCAUCCCUCCGGUGUUCCCUUUGGCUGGAACAAGGCUGUCUCCCUUUCUAGAGAACCACGGCAGGCCUACAGGAACUCUGAGAGUGCAAACCAUGCCAAACGCAGCCAUCUCCAGGGGCUAGCCACCAACAUGGAGUCAAAUCCCAGUCCACGUGUCCCUCAAACUCCAGAAGACAUGUCACACUUUCCGAAACGGUCCUCUUGAAGUGCUCCCUUAUUUGGCAUGAGCUGAAGAUGAGACACCCACCCCCUCCUGCCUGGGAAGAAGGGCAGUGUCCAGCACACAGACAGUUGCUCCAAAGCAAUCCUCUCACAUUCCGCCA
This 590-nucleotide long non-coding RNA is filed under the name Gorilla gorilla gorilla (western lowland gorilla). Its description in RNAcentral is "lncRNA (ENSGGOG00000044447.1)". Lineage: Eukaryota; Metazoa; Chordata; Mammalia; Primates; Hominidae. The record is from RNAcentral.